This 659-nucleotide long non-coding RNA is filed under the name Rattus norvegicus (Norway rat). Its description in RNAcentral is "long non-coding RNA NONRATT009654". The record is from RNAcentral. Lineage: Eukaryota; Metazoa; Chordata; Mammalia; Rodentia; Muridae.
AGAUAUUAACCGGGAACGUCAGAAAUCUCUAACACUAACACCCACCCGCUCAGACUCCAGUGAAGGAUUUCUUCAGCUGCCCCAUCAAGACAGUCAAGACAGCUCUUCAGUAGGGUCAAACUCUUUAGAAGAUGGCCAAACCCUGGGGACAAAGAAGAGCAGCAUGGUUGCACUGAAAAGACUGCCCUUUUUGAGGAACAGACCGAAGGAUAAAGACAAAAUGAAGGCCUGCUACCGUCGUUCCAUGUGUAAGACUUUAUGACAGCUCAGCCUCUUUCCAAUGACUACACUGGCUUCCACCACUAAUUUCUCACUAACUGUCUCUGGACUGUACUAAUUUCCUAGUUUGCAAAGUGCAGUCUUCCUUUAAUAUGAGGAGCUGAAAGAAUAUUUUUUUCAAAGAAGGCAUUGAAUUUGCAUUAUAUGUAUACUGCUCAUACAUAUAUAUGCAUAUGUUUAGUAAUACAAGCAAUAUACCUGUAAAGGUCCAGUGCUUUCAAAACUGGCAAAAACAAACUUAAUUUUAUAUGCCAGACAGAUUUUUUUCCCCAAAGAAGUUUACUUAAGGAAAAAUAUAACAAACCCUUUAGCAUUAGGAACUUAUUUCCUUAAUGAACCUAAUUAAAUAAAUAAAUGAAUAAAGUGGCCUAUAAUACUUG